This 1221-nucleotide ribosomal RNA is filed under the name human gut metagenome. RNAcentral describes it as "bacterial SSU rRNA". It matches the Rfam family "Bacterial small subunit ribosomal RNA", at positions 8 to 1213 of the family's 1533-position model. The record is from RNAcentral.
AGAGUUUGAUCCUGGCUCAGGACGAACGCUGGCGGCGUGCCUAAUACAUGCAAGUAGAACGCUGAAGAGAGGAGCUUGCUCUUCUUGGAUGAGUUGCGAACGGGUGAGUAACGCGUAGGUAACCUGCCUUGUAGCGGGGGAUAACUAUUGGAAACGAUAGCUAAUACCGCAUAACAAUGGGUGACUCAUGUCAUUUAUUUGAAAGGGGCAAAUGCUCCACUACAAGAUGGACCUGCGUUGUAUUAGCUAGUAGGUGAGGUAACGGCUCACCUAGGCGACGAUACAUAGCCGACCUGAGAGGGUGAUCGGCCACACUGGGACUGAGACACGGCCCAGACUCCUACGGGAGGCAGCAGUAGGGAAUCUUCGGCAAUGGGGGCAACCCUGACCGAGCAACGCCGCGUGAGUGAAGAAGGUUUUCGGAUCGUAAAGCUCUGUUGUAAGUCAAGAACGAGUGUGAGAGUGGAAAGUUCACACUGUGACGGUAGCUUACCAGAAAGGGACGGCUAACUACGUGCCAGCAGCCGCGGUAAUACGUAGGUCCCGAGCGUUGUCCGGAUUUAUUGGGCGUAAAGCGAGCGCAGGCGGUUUGAUAAGUCUGAAGUUAAAGGCUGUGGCUCAACCAUAGUUCGCUUUGGAAACUGUCAAACUUGAGUGCAGAAGGGGAGAGUGGAAUUCCAUGUGUAGCGGUGAAAUGCGUAGAUAUAUGGAGGAACACCGGUGGCGAAAGCGGCUCUCUGGUCUGUAACUGACGCUGAGGCUCGAAAGCGUGGGGAGCGAACAGGAUUAGAUACCCUGGUAGUCCACGCCGUAAACGAUGAGUGCUAGGUGUUGGAUCCUUUCCGGGAUUCAGUGCCGCAGCUAACGCAUUAAGCACUCCGCCUGGGGAGUACGACCGCAAGGUUGAAACUCAAAGGAAUUGACGGGGGCCCGCACAAGCGGUGGAGCAUGUGGUUUAAUUCGAAGCAACGCGAAGAACCUUACCAGGUCUUGACAUCCCGAUGCUAUUUCUAGAGAUAGAAAGUUACUUCGGUACAUCGGUGACAGGUGGUGCAUGGUUGUCGUCAGCUCGUGUCGUGAGAUGUUGGGUUAAGUCCCGCAACGAGCGCAACCCCUAUUGUUAGUUGCCAUCAUUCAGUUGGGCACUCUAGCGAGACUGCCGGUAAUAAACCGGAGGAAGGUGGGGAUGACGUCAAAUCAUCAUGCCCCUUAUGACCUGGG